GAUGAACGCUGGCGGCGUGCUUAACACAUGCAAGUCGAACGGGAAACCUUUUAUUGAAGCUUCGGCAGAUUUAACUGGUUUCUAGUGGCGGACGGGUGAGUAACGCGUGGGUAACCUGCCUUGUACAGGGGGAUAACAGUCAGAAAUGACUGCUAAUACCGCAUAAGCGCACAGGACCGCAUGGUCCGGUGUGAAAAACUCCGGUGGUAUAAGAUGGACCCGCGUUGGAUUAGCUUGUUGGUGGGGUAACGGCCCACCAAGGCGACGAUCCAUAGCCGGCCUGAGAGGGUGAACGGCCACAUUGGGACUGAGACACGGCCCAGACUCCUACGGGAGGCGGCAGUGGGGAAUAUUGCACAAUGGGGGAAACCCUGAUGCAGCGACGCCGCGUGAAGGAAGAAGUAUCUCGGUAUGUAAACUUCUAUCAGCAGGGAAGAAAAUGACGGU
RNAcentral lists this ribosomal RNA (447 nucleotides) under uncultured bacterium. Its description in RNAcentral is "bacterial SSU rRNA". It matches the Rfam family "Bacterial small subunit ribosomal RNA", at positions 28 to 458 of the family's 1533-position model. The record is from RNAcentral.